This 15518-nucleotide long non-coding RNA is filed under the name Citrus sinensis (sweet orange). Its description in RNAcentral is "long non-coding RNA (CSIN_LNC000102)". The record is from RNAcentral. Lineage: Eukaryota; Viridiplantae; Streptophyta; Magnoliopsida; Sapindales; Rutaceae.
UCUCAACUUAAGGGUGUGUGGGGAAGAGGGAAACGAGUAAGACCCAAGAGCCCCAAUAAACUCACGGGUCCAAGAUGGGGUCUUGGCUGAGAAAUCAUCAGUGGUGAGUUUAGCAAAAGGGUUGACGGUGAGAAGAGAGAUAAAGGUGUAUAAAUAAUGUAGAAGGCUGUGAGUUAUGGUCGUGGCUGUGGCUGUUUCUUUGGCGGAGGCUGUUGUGACGGCGGCGGCCGACGUGGUGGUGGCGGUGUCGAGGAUUUCGAGGUAGCCUGAGUCACGAAGCCAUGACUCGAAUGCUGGGUCGGGUACGUUUAGAGAUAACGGGUUGGAUGCGAAUACCUUCCCCAUUACAAAAAAGCUAUCCGAUUUCGGUUGAAUGAGAGUAAAUAAAUGUCAUUAAUUUAAAAUGCUUAAGGAUUUUUAGUAUUUUAAAGACCGUACAAAAUAUAACUUAAUUUUUUUAAAUUUAAUAGAUGAGUGUGUAGAAUAAUAGAAUAUUUAAAGUAAUUAUUAGGUGAUGUUUGGUUGGAAACAGAGAAUGAGAAUAGGAAAAUAAUUUAAAUUCUACUUUUAUUUUUAUUGUUUGAUUGUACAAAAUAUAUAAGAAUUUAAUUUUUAUUAAAAUUUAAUAUCCUUUAUAAUGUAGAAUUUAAAUUCCAUACCAAAGAGUGAAGAAUUCAAAUUUCUCUUAUGGUAAAAACCCAAGCUUCUAAAUUUACCCUCCAAUAUUUUAACUUAUUUAAUGCUAUUAAUAAUUAUUAUUUAUGAUUUUAUUUUAUUAAUUUAAUUUUAUAAAUAAUUUUAUAUUAAUUAAAUUUAAUGAAUGAUUUAAGAAAUUUAAUAAAAUAAAUAAACUUAUUUAUUUUAUUUAAUAUGAAAAUAUAUAAAUAUAAAUUAACUUCAUCGGACCGUCGCCGGACCCUUUGACAUCGCCGGAAGCCGCUGAAAUUCCGUCGGAAAGUCACCGGCCACCGCUGAUCGGUGUUAACUUUUGUUGACCGAUGUUGACUUAUAUUGACCGCUACUGUUGACCGGCUUUUAUUUAAAUUAAAUUAUAUUAAAUAGUUAGUAUAUUAAAUUAUUUUAUAUUUUAUAUUAAAUAUAAAUCAUGAAUUGUUUUAGAACUUUUUGAAAUUAAAACGAUUUAGUAUUAAUAUCAAAUUAUAUUUUAUUACUAAUAUAGAUAAUUUAAUAUUUAAGAUAGAUAAUAAAUUUAUUCAAAGAAAAAAAUUAUAAUUUUUUUUCUUAUCAAAUUUUAUAUCAAACUAAAUAAUGAAAUUUAAUUUCACUAUUCUCAUCGACUCAUUUCUCUUCCAUUCCACUCUUUUAUUCUCCUCCCAUUUCUUAAAACCAAACACCACCUUAGAGCUUGUAAUGCUUUGGCUGAUUCAUUAGCUAAAUUAGCUUUAAGUUUUGAAAGACCUGCUCUGUGGCUGGAAAAUUUUCCAUGACAAUGUUUUGCUGUUGUUUUCAAUGUCAGUUUGGAAAGCUUUACUUUCCCUUAAAAAAAAAAAAAAAAAAACACCACCUUAGAGGAUAAAUAGGCAUAUCCAAUACUUUAACUUAUGGUUGGUUGUUUUUUUCACUGAUUUUUUUUUUUAUUUGAAUUGAAUUAAUUACUAGUUGUGACUCGAGCUCAAGAGAGUCGAAGAGAGAGAAAAAGAAAAAUGGAGUGCUUCUCUUGUCCCUUUUAAGUGAAUAUAUUUAGGUUGGGUACCAAAGGCCAGUUUAAUCUUUUAUACUGCAUGGCAGCUUUUUACUCAAAUAUCAAAUGAGCUUGCUCUUCACGUGACGCUAAUUUUACCAAACUUUAUUUUUUUUCCUUGAUUAGCUCGUGUAGGACAGUUGAGGUGGCAACUUCUUAUUUAUUAUUCUUAUACCACAUGUCAGCUUUCAACUAGUCCAUAAAUAUCCUUCAAAAUUUACCUCCAAACAAAUCUAAUAACCUCUUGAAAACGAAAAAUUAAAAAUUUAUUCAAUCAUUCAAUGUUAAGGAUAUUGGCCAAGUAAUGGAAUGCUAACAAACCAAAUUAAAUUUCUACACUUACUCUUUUUCUUUGGCCUACACCAAAUUUCAUCACUUAAUUUUCCUUUAAUUAAAUAAAACAAAUACAUUAUAACUGCUUACUAUUUACAUCUGAAUAGAGCAAUGAAGACUGGUUAUUAAAGAUCGGUUGUUAAAUGGAUAUGGAUGAAAAUGGUGUUAAAAGACUGGUUAUGAAAAAUCUUUUAACAUAAAUCUUGCGUUUAAGAAACUUUUAGUUCACAACCAUGGCAUAUGGUAGCAAUGAAAAAGGCUCUUGCAGGAUAUAUUCAAGCAAAUUGGUUUGGGUAACGACAAACAAAAAAGCCUUGCAAGUGAUAAAGUUCCUCCUUUGCCCACUCAAAUGCAUUACAUAAUGUCGCAGUACAUUUUAUUUAUGCAAAUACGUAUAUACAUGCAUAUCUUGAUAACUAUUUUAACAUGUGAUCUAAUAUAAAACAUAAUUUCGCUCUGAAUAUUUUUAUAAUUGAUUUGUUAUAAAUUUGAACGAGGGAUUGCAGUUAUACCUUCUUGAAUUUUAUAGAUGUUUUCAUGCAUGCUCUACGAAAAAAUAUUUGAUGUCGUGUCAAUGCUCACUGCAAAAUAUAUCUUAGGUGCUCGCACAUAUACCGUAGGCUAUAGCUAUACAAAAACUUAUACUUUGCUUUCUCGAAUGCACACACUUGCACGCAAAAUUCUAUUAUUGAAAGUCGCUGCUUACUAUACACGGCUUUUUUCUAGCCUUUUAUUAGACGUGGUUUCAAUUUAUUGAACCAUUAGAGGGACACAUCAGUAGUCACAAAAAAGCCCCUCUAAAUGGCAAUUCUUGUAAUCAUUUCGCUGCCGCUCUUCAUUCCAGUCCCAAGUACACGGCCCAAACUUCAACUUUCUCCGGGAAGGCAAUGAAGCGUGGCUCAGUCUCAGUAAUAUGUCCCUCAUAUUCCAUUGAAUGAGCCAAAGGAGGAAUACUUCGAUAGUUAGUAGCAACUAGCAAUCAUAUUGAAGGAAUUUUCUGUAUCAGAUAAAGAAAGAGCAGCAGAGAACAAAGCUGUUAAUCAAUCAACAAAUGUAAAGCAGUAUUAGUAUUUCUGCCUUAUUGUAGUGCCUAAGCGGGUAUUAGGAUUUCUCCACAAGAACGUUUACUAAGAUAUUCAGCCAAGUGUGAAGUUCAUCAAUAAUCAAUCUUUUCUCGAAAUAAACGAAACAUAUUGAGUGCCAGACUUGCCCAGCCUCUGAAACAGGAUUUCAGAGCAAGCAACAGAACAAAAGACAGAAAACACAUUCAACUCAACCCAAACACUAGAAAGCAUCACAAAUAUUAUUUAUUUUUUGUACACAAUUAACGAACCGAGGCUGAAGCACAAAUCAAUGAACUCUCAACUGAAAAAUCCGAAACGAAACUUCUUAUUUAUGAAUAGACAGCGGAAACAAAGAAACCAAAAAAAAGUCCACCACCGUAGGAUCAGGAUUUAUUUGUGUAGACAGCAGAAGUGACGACGGAAAGGAUUCUGGUUGAAAUUGAAGCUCGCACUGCAGUCAUGAUGUUUUCUGCUCUGAUUUCACCUACACAAGUCAUUUAAGAAAUUGUGAAAAAUAAGAAAUUUAAAUUACAUUUUUUUUUCUUAACUACUAAAACAAAUGAACACCGAUGUCUGCUAGGUUCAUGGUUGAAUAUGGAAGAGUACAUAAGUCUCCACUGUUGCUAAAGAGGGCUUGAUGAUUGGGGUGAGCAUCGGAAACUCUAAAGGGUACUUAAUGUUGAGACAAAUUAGAAGAAAACACUUUGUAUAACCAUUUUUAUAUUGGAGAGAAGGGAAAAAAAGUACAUGAAAUUGGAUAAAUAAUUAAAAGUUGAAGAAAUUGGUUAAAACGAGAAACAUACAUCAAAUUCCGUAAGGAUAUAGUUGAAUGCCGCACUGUUCCUUAUCCUCAAAUUCCCGUAGCUUUUGUCUCAGCUCUGGCUGAGGCCACCAGCAAUCGAACUUGUUUAAGCUCUUUAUGUACCAGAGCUGUUCAGGCAUCUUUUUCAAGUAAGCACAAGGGUUGAUAAUCAAGCAUUCUAGUUUUGGCAUGGCUGCAUUCCCCAUAGUCCACUCCUCUAGCCAUAGCAUUGAUUUCAGGUGCAACACCUUGAGGUUCGGAAAACCAUAAGAGCCGCAAGUCAGCUUUCUACCUGAAUACGAGUUUUGCUUCAGUUUGAGCACUUGAAGAAGCGGCAGCUUUUCUAGUGUCGGCAUGGGAUCAUCCAUUAGGUCAGUAUUAGAAAAACUCAAGUGGGUUAGACUAUGAGGAAAUAGGUAUUCAGCAAGGACGAUUUUGGAGAGCCGUGGCAUCUUGCUUUCAUUCGCCAGCUUCAAUGACUCGAGACAGCUCAAUCUGCAGAGACUUUUGGACAACAAAGAUUGAUUAUAACUUAAAUCUCCCCGUAUUCGGAGAUUUCGAAGAUUAGGUAGUCUGCCCAAUAUAUCUUCAGUACAGCAGCAAGGAUGCAAGGCUGAAAUGAAAUUGAGAUUUUCCAGAGAGCCACAGAAUUUUCCUGGAUGCGCAGGAAGUGUGAUUGAGCCAAAAUUUAGAUGCCUGAGUUUGUUCAUCUUCCAAAAUUCAUCUGCUGUAUGAUCUAUAUAGCUAAAGGGCAUGUCUAGGGUGUAGAGGUUCAGAAGAUUGCUUAACAAUGAUGAAGGCAGGCUGUUGAGGGAAGGGAUAUUCAACUUCAAAUAUCUCAAAAGAAAUAAAUUUUCAAUUCCGGAUGGAUACUGGAUGAGAACAAGAGAUCCCAAGUCCAAUACUCUGAGAAGUUUGAACAUUCCACAAAAUUUCUCCCAAUCUAUAGGGUCAAGGUGGCGGGUUUCUGGAGAGCAGCACAACAAAGAAUGCAGUUGCGAGUCAUAAUCAUCUAAGCAAGCAAAAUCACCCUCUCUUUCAACAGCGUUUAACCGUUUGGCUUUUUUUGGUGAUUUACCUUUUGGAUCCAUGAAAGGGGAACAGAUGAAUUCCACCAUAUAAGGAACUGUGUGCAGCACGGGACGCCAACGACCAGGAAUAGAGCAUGUGUUGAUAGUGCCUCCGGCUUUUCUCUUCUUUGCUUCAACAAAGCCUUCCUUGAUAAGUUGUUCCAAGUAACUCUCAGCAGUUGCCUCACUAUUGUCUGGAAUGAAACCUUCAGCUAUCCACAACUGAUAUAACUGCCUGGUGGAUAUCUCUUGGUGUGCGGGAAACACAGAUAAGUAGAUAAAACAAGGUUUCAAGCAAAAAGGUAACAUUAAACAUUUGAUGUACCGAAGCCCAAGGGGUGUCUCCACUGCUUCCCGUAUAUUUUCUUCUAAUGAGAUGCUUCCAUGAUAUAAGAUGAGGAAAGGCCGUCCUUUAUAUGUAGCUCUCAAUGGUCCUCCAGUGGGCACUAAAUCAAGCCGCAUGUUCUCUCCGUCUUCGAACUGAAAUGAGAUGAUGAUCCUAAUGUCAGUGAGUGUUAUUAAUACUCUACUUCCAUUCUGAUUAUCCGGAAGUAUUUCUUGAAUAACAUCCCACAUAUCAAUGCUCCAUACAUCAUCAAUCACAAUCAAAUACCGCUUGGUCAUCAGAUAUUCAUGAAGAAUAAUUUUUUUCAUUUCAUAAUUUUUAUCCAUUAUUUCACUCAACCUAGAUGAAGGCAUCAGAAACUUAAUAACGAUAUCUAAUAUUUGGUCAGCAUCAUAUUCAUUGCUGUAAGGUUCUGUAAUCCAAGCGUGACAAUCAAAAUAAUGCUUCACAUAACUGCUGUUGUAAGCCUCUCCGGCGAAAGCCGUCUUGUCCAACCCAAUGCUAUCAAGUAUGGCCACCACUGAAAGCUGAGGUGGUCCCUCAAUGUUAGAGCAGCUCAUUAUGCUGAACAGAAGAAGGUGAAGACUAAGAUGAAGAAAAUACAGAGCAAGUUACAGGGCAAGUGUGUCAGCAGUGCCAGCUCAGCUAACAGCUCAGCAGAUUAGUUAAAGAUGGUUGUAAGCAUGAUGUGCAUUGUACUGAAGUUAGUUAGCUUUGAUUACAGUUAGUCUUUGGAUUAGUUAAAUGAAGUUACCGUGAUUGCAUUGUAUAUAAACAGGUGAUGCUUUGUAAUUAAAUGUUAAGCAAAAUAAAAAUCAAAGUUUGUUAAGGAAAUAUCUCCAGAAUUAUCAAUUCAUUUUCUUAGUAACCAAACAACUUUAUUUCAUUUUCUUUCAGUGCGGAGAGGCCGAAAAUUUGCUGGAGGGAUACCAAUUAAUUUGGCAGAUUUCUGAAGAGCGAAAUGUGUUUGAUCGGAGGCAUAAACAACCAACUUAGUAAUGUUGUCAAAGCCUCCUCCAAGUUUUUCCAAUGCUUUGUCUCUUGCAGCUGCCAGAGUGCAAACGAGGGAUUCACAAGUGCUUCCGUGCAGGACACCACCACCUGUUCCGGAAAACAAAAAUGAAGAAGGAAGCUUGAGCAUUUUCCCCAUCCAAUCCAUCACAAUGGAUUCGAGUUCAGUUGCUACCGGAGAAGCGAGCCAGUUGAAGCCAACCACGUUGAACCCUGAACAAAGCAUCUCACCAAGAAAGCCAGCAGUGCUUGCAUUUGCUUGGAAAUAACCAAAGAAAUUGGGGCUUUGCCAGUGAGUGAGGCCAGGUAAGAUGCAGUCGGUGACAUCUUUUAGAAUAUCAUCCAAUGACUCUGGGGAAUGCGGGGCUGUGUCAGGCAACCGAGCCGACAAAUAACCAGGCUCUACUUUGCUUUGAACAGGGUAUUUCUCGAUGUUUUUGUAAUAAUCAGCAAUGAAAUCGAUAACAGCUUUCGAUUCGUCAGAGAAGCUCUUUGGCAUUACUCUUAACACAUGAGGCAAGAAUGGAACAAAAUCAUAAUACUAAAGAUCUUUUUAGUGCAAACUAUGGGAUGAUGAAUGCUAACUACUCUCAGUUUAGAGGAAAUAAUAAGAGAGGUGGUUAUAGUGGAUAUCAAGGGCAAUUUAAUGCUGGAAAUAGGAAUCAAAAUGGAGGAAGAGGAAUGUCUUUCAAUUCAUUCUCAAGAGGUUUUCCAGCUGGUGGAUAUACUGGUAAUGCUGGUGGCAGAGGACAGCAAAUGAAUGCAUAUGCUUAUAAACCUGUGCUUAACAACAGGCAUAAUUUCAAUGUGAAUCAUGGCUCAACUUCAAUGCCCAAUGGAAAUGGAUCUGAUGAUAAUGUGCUUAUCUGUCAAAUCUGUCAUAAAGCUGGACAUGCAGCUGAUGUUUGUUGGCACAGACACUUUGAUGGCUAUGCUCCUCAACCCAGACAAUUUGGAAGGGGCAGAGGGCAUAAGUCUGCUUAUAUGGCUAACUUUGAUCCACAAAUUGGCUUUACUUCACAAUUUGAAGAUUCGUUUGCUACAGAAUAUCCUGGUUAUCAUGGGUACCAUCCACCUGAUAUGAAUGCAUCAGUUGCAUCAGUAAGUCAUCACUCAUCUGAUAUGCAUUCUGUACCUGGAGCAGCUUAUAUUGCAAAUUUUGAAGGACCAGCUGAUGAAGGGUGGUAUCUUGAUAGUGGAGCUACGCAUCACAUCACUAACAGCAUGGCCAAUAUGCAUAUCAGAGAUCAAUUCACUGGAGCAGAUCAGCUCAUUAUUGGAAAUGGACAAGGUUUGCCCAUAACUCAUGUUGGUGAUGCAUCAUUUCUCUUUAAAAGUUCCAAUUCUACACACAAACACUCACCUAUAGUACUUAAAGAUAUUCUGUUGGUGCCUUCCUCUCAGUUAUCAUCAUCUUUUCUUUCUCAUAUGUGUUCCAAUAAACCUUUGUCUAUGCUUUCUUGUUGUUGUUUCAAUUCUGUUCCUUCUGGAGUAUUUACAGAAUCUUAGAAAUCAUGUAAUCAAACUGAUGAUUCAUCUUGUAAAACUUCAGUUAAUAAAGCUAUUUUGCUUCAUAGAAAGUUUGGUCAUCCCAAUCAUCAAAUAUUAACUCAUAUACUCAAAACAGCAAAAUCUAUUCAUUUACCUGCAUAUCAAAAGCAACAAAUGCAUCAGUACAUCUGUGAGGCCUGUCAAAUGGGCAAAACACAUAAACUUCAUUUUCCAAUUACUGAAACCAAAACCUCCAAAACUCUAGAACUUAUACACACUGAUUUAUGGGGUCCUUCUCCCAUUAUUUCUAGAGAUGGUUAUCAGUAUUAUAUAAGUUUUGUAGAUGACUACAGCAGGUAUACAUGGAUUUAUCCUUUGAAGCUAAAGUCUGAGGCAUUAGAAGUCUUUAAGCUCUUUAAACUGCAGGUUGAAAAUCAGUUUAGCACAACCAUUAAGAUGAUGCAAUCUGAUUGGGGGGGAGAGUAUAGACCAUUCACUGAGUUUUUAAGCCAAUUUGGUAUCAUCUUUAGACAUCCUUGUCCUCACACUCAUCAUCAAAAUGGGUUAGUUGAAAGGAAGCAUAGACAUAUUGUUGAAUUGGGUCUGACUCUCUUAGCUCAAGCUCAACUUCCCUUUAAGUUCUGGUGGGAUGCAUUUCAUACUGCUGUAUAUCACAUCAACAGACUUCCAUCUCCUGUUUUGCAACUUUUAACCCCAUAUGAAAAGACAUUCAAACACAAACCUGAUUAUGAUUUUCUCAGAUGUUUUGGGUGUUCUUGUUAUCCUUACUUGAGAGAUUACAAUAAACAUAAAUUUGCCUACCAUUCUAGUAAGUGCAUAUUCAUUGGUUACAGUCCUUCACAUAAGGGCUACAAAUGUUUACACCCUUCAGGUCGAGUCUAUGUGGCAAGACAUGUUACCUUUGAUGAAUCAGUUUUUCCUUAUGCCACUGAGUUUGUUUUUCAUAGUCAUGCUAAAACUGAUUCUCAAAUUUCUCAUUCCCAUACACCACAGCAAAUCCAUCAUAUCUCUUCUUUGCCUGUCAAUAACAGCACUGGUAAUCUGAACUCUGUAAGAUCUGGAAGCAGCAGUUCAAGUCACUCAGAUCAUCUAGAACAGACAGCAACUGAUCAGAAUUCACAACAAGCUACCAUAAAUGACAGGUCACCUUUUCAUACAUGUCCAACAAUUGUUGAAUCUAUACAAAAUAUUCCAAAACCUCCACAUCACUCUUUGCCUAUACAAAGUCACCAUCCUAGCAACACUUCUUUCUAUCCAUAUACACAACCAAAUACACAUCAGAUGAUAACCAGAAGUAAAGCAGGGAUUUUCAAACCCAAAAUUUAUACUGCUGUGCUUACUCACAAGGAACCAGAUACUGUGCAAGAAGCAUUAAAUGAUUCAAAGUGGCUACAAGCUAUGAGGGAGGAAUAUGAUGCCUUGAUUAAGAAUAAUACAUGGACAUUGGUUCCAAGACAAGCUGAUCAGCAUGUGGUUGGAAAUAAAUGGGUGUAUAGAAUCAAAUAUAAUACAGAUGGAAGUGUAGCUAAGUAUAAAGCUAGACUUGUUGCAAAGGGUUUUCAGCAAGUGGCAGGGAUUAACUAUUUUGAGACAUUUAGCCCAGUUGUGAAGUCAGCUACAGUUAGAGUAAUACUUAGCUUGGCAGUGAUGAAUCAGUGGAGAAUAAGGCAAGUGGAUGUCAAUAAUGCCUUUUUGAAUGGAGAGCUAACAGAAGAAGUUUUCAUGUCUCAACCUGAUGGCUUUAUUGAUGCUCAGAGAUCUGAUUUUGUAUGCAAAUUACACAAGUCUCUGUAUGGGCUCAAGCAAGCUCCUAGAGCCUGGUAUGACAAGCUUAAAGGAUGCUUAAUAAGCUGGGGUUUCACUACUACUAGUUCUGACACCUCAUUGUUUGUUAGGAAGAUCAAGACAUCUAUGAUCAUAGUUCUUAUAUAUGUUGAUGACAUACUGAUCACAGGUCCAAAUACUGAGGAGCUGGAAGGUUUUAUAACUGAAUUCAGCAAAACUUUUGCUCUAAAGGAUCUGGGAGUGUUAUCCUAUUUCCUUGGAAUUGAGGUAUUAUAUGAUGCAGAUUGUAUGUACUUGUCACAGAGAAAGUAUAUCAGAGAUUUGUUAUCGAAGGUAGAAAUGACUGAAUGUAAGGGCAUUGAUACACCCAUGAGUACUGGCUCUAAACUGCAAAAGAUAGUUCAGGGGGAACUUGGAUACUAUCUUGAAGAUCCAACUCAUUAUAGGAGCAUAGUUGGAGGAAUGCAGUACCUGAUACUUACCAGACCUGAGAUUGCGUUUGCUGUAAACAAGCUUAGUCAGUAUGUAGCUGCACCAACACUACAACAUCUAAUGGCAUGCAAGAGAGUUAUAAGAUAUCUAAAGGCAACUCAAGAUUAUGGUUUAAAAUUUUUCAGAGAAGGAAGCUUAACACUCACUAGUUUUACUGAUGCAGAUUGGGCAUGUGACUUAGAUGAUAGGAAAUCAGUUGGUGCUUAUUGCAUUUAUUUAGGCAAUAAUUUGAUAUCCUGGUCUUCUAAGAAACAAUCAGUGAUAACCAGAUCAAGUGCCGAGAGUGAGUAUAGAGCUUUGGCAUCAGUGAGUGCAGAGCUGACAUGGUUACAAUCCUUAUUUUCUGAGUUGGGAAUAAGUUGCAUAGAAAAGCCAAUCAUAUGGUGUGACAACAUUAGUGCCACUGAACUAGCAAAGAACCCUGUGUAUCAUUCAAGAACAAAGCAUAUCGAAAUUGAUAUGCACUUCAUUAGGAAUAAGGUUCUUGCUGGUGAGUUGAUUAUUCACUAUGUACCAAGUGAAGAACAGAUUGCAGACAUAAUGACCAAGCCUCUUUCAUUUGUAAGGUUUAACUACUUGAGGUCCAAACUCAAUGUCCAUCUUUGUCCUCUGAGUUUGAGGGGGGCUGUUAGAGCAGCUCAUUAUGCUGAACAGAAGAAGGUGAAGACUAAGAUGAAGAAAAUACAGAGCAAGUUACAGGGCAAGUGUGUCAGCAGUGCCAGCUCAGCUGACAGCUCAGCAGAUUAGUUAAGAUGAAGAUAUACCGGCUUCAGCUUUAGAAGUUUUGAUGCGAUCAAUGAUUUUGGAAUCCAUGUGCUUAAGUUGUUGCAUCCGUUGCUUAAUAUCAGUGAUUCUGCUUUGGAGUCCUUGCAGAGCAUCAAAAAUGUCCUUGCUGCAGCUGCUUUGAGUCUUCUGUUGAGUGAUGCUGUUGAUGAAUGUGUCAAUCACCUUCUCAGAUUCAUACGUAAACCAAUUGAUUUCGUCCAUAACGGUCGCCAGAUCUGGGUCAUGACUUUCCUCCUCCGCCAUUUUUUCGAACAGAAGGAGGGAGAUAUCAUCUUCAAAUUCGCUCAGCCAAGAAGUAACGAUUUCAACCUCCGCAUGAAGGUUCUGAAUAGGUUGUUUUGCAGCAUCAGGCAACGUGACUUCUUCACCAGCUAACACCCUUCUCAGCCUCUCUGAAAAUAGUCUGAAGUUGAUGUGCAUAUCUCCUCCUCUCUCAGAUUCACCCUGAAAUCAGUCCUGUAGCAUGCAAAGAAAUAAUUAAAAGAAAAACAUGCUUUAAAGCUCUCAAUUCAAACAUUAGUGCUGGCUCCCAUACCUCCCUUCUCUUAGCUAGCUCUCCGGUCAAGAAGUUGAAUCAAGAUCGUUGACUCUCAGAUUAUAACAGAUCAAGGAAGAAUCUUACAAUAAUCUCGUCUCCCAUAUGAUCAAGACCAAUUUGUUUUAUACAUCCACUUUUAAGAAAGGAAGGGUAAAAACAAUUCCACUGGGACUAUAAAAGCUUGUCUGAAAAGAAAAGAACGGAGCAAGCACAAGAGCGUUAUCAAUUAUUUAAUAAUUAAUAACUAAGCCGUGGAAAAAUGCAAAAUCAUGUCAGGUGUUACUUGUUAAAUUUAUUGCGAGACUUGCAUGUAUCUAUAUCACAAAUAAAAUUUGUAUCCCAGGGUUAUAAAUGUAAAAUUACUCAAAUAAAUAUGCAUUCUUAAUCAUGUGUGAUGCUGUCUUAUUUCUGAGAAAGUACUAAAUCGUUUGUAAAAUUUUAUAGUUAAUAUAUGUUCAAUUUUCUUUUUAGCAUUCUUUUUUAAGAAAUGAAAAAUGAUAAAGAAUUCUAACAACGGGUGACAAAAAUAAUAAUAAAUUGUGCAAUGUUACAAUGUUAAUUGAAAAAUAGUUAUAAUUUUUUAUUUAACAUUAUAAAUAAAAUCUAUAGUUGUUUUCUCACUACUGUAUCAUUUUUUAAUUCAAAUAUCAGUAUUAUAUGAGCUCUCACCUUUUAGAAAGUAUUAUAUCAUAAGACACUAUUUAUAAUUAUUUUCAUUUGAGCCCUUAGUGUUAAAAAUAUAACAAUCCAUCAAUGAAAUCAAUGAUAAUGGAAUUCUAAGUAGGAAUGGCAGAAAAAUCAAGUCUAGCUAGAGCAUGUUUUCUAAGUAUUCUGGCUGGUCUUGGGCUCCGGCUAAAAAGUUCGAACUCAGCUCGAAAGCCAACAUUGUAUAGUGGGAAUCUAGGACCAAUCACAUGGAGAUGAUUUGUAAAUUUUUGUACACAAUUUUAGUAUGCAUAUCAGAAGAGAGGCAGCAAUCUUAGUUGAUACUUUUAUUUGACAUAUGAUGUAAGAAACGGAACAAAGAUUGUAACGCCACAAAUUUUGCAAUUCAGCAUCCAAAAUAUCACUAGAACUUGCAAGACAAGCUUUAAUCUCUUCAACAAAGGUCGAAUUGCGGGCAGGAACACAAACGCAGAGAUGGGUAUCAAGAUCGCAUUCGAAACGACUGACAGGGAUUGUCACAGUCGGCAUUGCUUUUACAAGUGACUGCUUUUGAUUCCGGUUGAGCAUCAACUGCCGGCAUGGAAAUAUUAAACAACACACUUGCAUAUAUAAAUGCCAAACAAUUAAUUAGCCUAAUGCUAAUAACACGCCUGCAUAUAUAAAUGCCAGCCAAUUAGUUGUCAUAUUAUAGUUAAUUAUGCAUGCAUUAAAAAGAUGAGGAAAAUAAGAUUAAGGAACAAACAUGAGGCCACCAACAGAGUGAUGAAAAAUGUGGAUUUAAGUUUAAGUUCCAUAAUGUUUAUGUAAGCAAAAGUGCAAAACUGAGAGUCUGUGGAUAAUGAUAUUAUUAAAUUUAAUAUGGGUUUGGUUUGCAUAGAUUCAUGAAUUUCUCUAGACAUUAUAUGCGCCGGGGGAGAAUUUAAUCCACUUGACAACUAAAAAAUUCAGAAAUCAAACCUCGAUUUGACAAAUUAGAAAUUUAAAAAUUAAAUUUUUUUCCAUAUGCAUGCUCUCGUUUUUCUCUCUAUCACAGCGGUAUAAUUGGAAUUAUUGUUAUGACAAUUUGAUUCUCUUUUCUUACAUGUUGCAGGAGUCAUGUCCUCCCGUUGAGGUGACAAAAUGACUAUGGAUUGUGCCUGAGUGGAGUACACCACCAGUAUGAUUAUCUCACUCCCUUUCGAGGUUUUGUUGCAGUAAUUUCUCAUCUUUUAUAGGGUACCCUGCUCUUCAUUGCUUCUGUAGAAGUCUUAUGAGCUAAUUGCUUCCGAAUCUUUAAAUUUCUUCAAUGAGGAACCUUUGUUUGGAAAAUUGAUUUUCAUCUGAUCCGAGAAGGGUGCUUUGAAGCAGAGAGCUUACGAAAUGCAGCAUGCAAAAUCAUGACUACAAUGCAGUAGACUAAUUGUUAGCUCACUCUAAGCAAAGGCAACGUUCAUAAAAGAUGAAGAAGAGUUUCUAAUAUUUACCAACAUAACCGAUAGCAAGUGCACAGAAUAGAGUCAUCUGAACAUUCAGUAGCAUAAGAACAACCAAUGUAGCUGCAAAGAUGAGAUGUAAUUACUACUGUGAAGUCGACGAAAGAAUUCCACUAUUUAUCAACAACUAGACUGUAGUAUAAUGGAAAGACCUGCCAAGGAAAGUUUAAAGCAAAACUCAUCCAGAGAAGGCAAGAACAUUAGUAUAGAAGCAGAAGUGCACACAUUCAUAUUUAGGGGUAACGAGAAAUGUAUCAUAAAUCACUUGCUCUAGCACAGUACUAUUUCAUGCUAAUUUUCUUGCUCGUUCUAUGGUUAGGACCCUUUGAGCGGAAAGAAAUCAAAUCACAAUGCUUAUUCUAGCUAGAAACUCCUGAAGUCCAUGCUUGAACCCUGUGUCAAUUGGUCAUAGACUCCAUAUUCUCCCAAAAGUAUGACAUUUUUUUCUUCCACUGAUUAAUGGAACUUAAAACUGUUUUGCCACAAUCUUAGUCAUACAAACCCUUUCUCUUUACAUUUCUUAAGGUCAUCAGACCCAAACCAGAACAUGUUUACUUCCUAGGAGAAAUCUUAAAUAUCUUAAUCAAUACGGAACUGUGUAGUUCAGACAGCAUUCCCUUGGCCAACUAGACGUAACGAUUUGCAAUGUCCUAGUAAGUCUAUGAGUGGAACUAACAGUGCCCUUCCAAUACGGAAAAACAAUCGUCAAAAACAAUUUUUUUACCCCAUCAACCACAUACAGUAUAAGACUGUAGCUGGUUAUCUCAAUAUCGGCUGCCAUUUUGAUUCAAAGAAGAAAUAUUUGAGAACUCACCACAUUGUGCAAUGCGAACCAGAACCUGCCUAAUCACAGGAUGCCGAUCCCAGUUCCAUUUGUCACUACAGAACUUGAAAAAAUCCCAAAGUGCCAAACUUGAUAUCAACCCAACAAGUGCAAGUGGCAUCUGGUAUCUAUAAGAUGGAGACAGAGACAAUGUCACUAGACAGAUGAUACACAGAAAAAAAAACUUGUAAUACAACUAACACACACAAUACUAUGAUUAAAAAAAUAUCUCCAUCAGUUAAAAACUAAACAAUGGAAAGGCGAGACUCUAUGAACUAAUGCCCUGAACCAGCACAAAUACCAAUUCUCCCGGAGUAUUUUAAGUAUUCAUAUAGUUGUUUCAAAGCACAGGAAAAAAAAAAACAACGCAAAAUUGCAAACUCAUAGUGUUGUUAUUUAUCAAUUGAAACCCAGAAAAAAAAAUCUGUAACUUAAUUAUUCAUUUAAGCAGAUUGAAACCCUUACAAACACAGGUAAGCAAAUCAAAAUUAUCAUUAAAAAUCCAAUCAAGGCCACAUAAAUCUAAUCACAUCCAAAAGCAUCCCAAAAUCUCGUUCAAUAUUCAUACACCCACAUACAAAAACCAUUCAAAAAUUUAAUUUUUUUUAACUCAAAAUAAUAACUCAGGAAAGGAAACAAAAUUCUUACAGAGAGCAAGCAAAGAAGAGGAUGAACAAAGAAGCAUAAUUCCUGGCAUAACGUUUAACAUUCUCAUGAACUCUCAACUUAAGGGUGUGUGGGGAAGAUGGAAACGAGUAAGACCCAAGAGCCCCAAUAAACUCACGGGUCCAAGACGGGGUGUUGGCUGAGAAAUCAUCAGUGGUGAGUUUAGCAAAAGGGUUGGCGGUAAGAAGAGAGAUAAAGGUGUAUAAAUAAUGUAAAAGGCUGUGAGUUAUGGUCGUGGCUGUGGCUGUUUCUUUGGUGGAGGCUGUUGUGACGGCGGUGGCCGAUGUCGUGGUGGCGGUGUCAAGGCUUUCGAGGUAGCCGGAGUCGCGUAGCCAUGACUCGAAUGCUGGGUCGGUUACGUUUAGAGAUAACGGGUUGGAUGCGAAUACCUUCCCCAUUGCAAAAAGUUAUCCAAUUUCGGUUGAACGAGGGUCACUAAAUUAUCAAAAU